This 258-nucleotide long non-coding RNA is filed under the name Erythranthe guttata (spotted monkey flower). RNAcentral describes it as "long non-coding RNA (EGUT_LNC002587)". The record is from RNAcentral. Lineage: Eukaryota; Viridiplantae; Streptophyta; Magnoliopsida; Lamiales; Phrymaceae.
UUCUCUCUUUUAUUAAUGCAAGGACCAGGUUUUUUUGACAUGCAUAAAUUUGAACAAAUCAACACUCUUACUUCAGAUGGAGCUGACAUAGAAAGUAGUAUUAGCUUACCGGGUGUUGCUCAUGAUUAUAUGAGAUUUAUUUGUGGUCAAUCCAGGUGUGGAUCCAGGUAUACCGAAUGUACGUUAUAUCAAAAUGAACCAUAAAAUUUGUCAAAAUUAUUUCUCUACUUCUACUGAUUGUGGAUAAAUUCUUUAUAU